AUCAUUUAGUUACGUCUCUAUAAACUGGAGAAUCCUUCAGGCUAAUGCUUUUCAAUUUUUUUUGCUACAGAUGAGAGAAUUCCUACAGCUACUCAUUCAUCAUCCACGGAGCCAUUUACGGAAAUUUUGAGGCAUUUUGUCUAAAGUUUUCAAUCUCUUGCGUUAACCUCUGUUUCAAGGUGUGGCUUUGGGCUCCCUUCUCGAUUUUCUACAGGCAUUGGUCGAGUUUAAUGCACCUGGAUCUUGUCUUGGCUACCGCGAUCUGUUGAUGUUUAUGAUGAAUUUGGCGUCGAAACCUGGUCUUUAUAAUACUGCUCAUCAUUCUGUCGCUCAGGCUGUUGCUUCAUUGGUUGUAACUCAACAAGUUUCUGAAGCUUUUACAUUGGUGCAGAAUUUCCUCCAGGAGGCUCAGAGACCUCAUUCUGAUUGGCAACACAUUUUUGCGCUCCUUUGUAUUGGAGAGAUCGGCAAAUGAAUUGAUCUUAACCAGGUUCCAGGGUUAGGACAAGCAAUCAGCGAUUCUUUCGGCCCACCAAAUGAAGAAGUACGUCUAUUACUUUCUCAACUUUCUGAAUCAAUCUAUAUCCGUUUUCUUCCUGAUUCGGAUAACAACCCACAACUUAACGAGUUCGUUCUGCAUAUUCGUUCAUCACCCGAUAUUCAGGUAAUAAAAUAACUACUGUUUCAAUUUUUUCGUCUUAGAAAUGAAUGUGCUAACACCAAUUAUUUUUCAGAUUCUUUUCUCCAGACAUGCUCCAGACAUCACGGAAAUGCUGCAGGAGUAUCCAGCGAAUUGAACAUGGAUUUAAGUUAAAGUGGUAUAAAACAAU
Long non-coding RNA from Daphnia pulex (common water flea), 830 nucleotides. RefSeq lists it as uncharacterized. NCBI's taxonomy places the organism in Eukaryota, Metazoa, Arthropoda, Branchiopoda, Diplostraca, Daphniidae. The record is from RefSeq and is a predicted model, not a curated record. The transcript is spliced from 2 exons.